GCCGGGCUGGCGGAACUGGCAUUCGCGGCAGACUCAAAAUCUGCUGGGGCUGACGCCCCGUGAGGGUUCGACUCCCUCGCCCGGCACCA
This 89-nucleotide transfer RNA is filed under the name Bacillota bacterium. RNAcentral describes it as "Firmicutes bacterium (sediment metagenome) tRNA-Leu". It matches the Rfam family "tRNA". From Rfam's summary of the family: Transfer RNA (tRNA) molecules are approximately 80 nucleotides in length. The record is from RNAcentral. Lineage: Bacteria; Bacillati; Bacillota. RNAcentral also lists the same sequence under 3 other names.